RNAcentral lists this ribosomal RNA (214 nucleotides) under uncultured bacterium. Its description in RNAcentral is "partial 16S ribosomal RNA". It matches the Rfam family "Bacterial small subunit ribosomal RNA", at positions 524 to 737 of the family's 1533-position model. The record is from RNAcentral.
UACGGAGGGUGCAAGCGUUAUCCGGAUUCACUGGGUUUAAAGGGUGCGUAGGUGGGUUGGUAAGUCAGUGGUGAAAUCCCCGAGCUUAACUUGGGAACUGCCAUUGAUACUAUUAAUCUUGGAAUACCGUGGAGGUUAGCGGAAUAUGUCAUGUAGCGGUGAAAUGCUUAGAUAUGACAUAGAACACCAAUUGCGAAGGCAGCUGGCACACGAA